This 504-nucleotide ribosomal RNA is filed under the name Mycobacterium sp. N120. RNAcentral describes it as "bacterial SSU rRNA". It matches the Rfam family "Bacterial small subunit ribosomal RNA", at positions 1 to 522 of the family's 1533-position model. The record is from RNAcentral. Lineage: Bacteria; Bacillati; Actinomycetota; Actinomycetes; Mycobacteriales; Mycobacteriaceae.
UGGAGAGUUUGAUCCUGGCUCAGGACGAACGCUGGCGGCGUGCUUAACACAUGCAAGUCGAACGGAAAGGCCCUUUCGGGGGUACUCGAGUGGCGAACGGGUGAGUAACACGUGGGUGAUCUGCCCUGCACUUUGGGAUAAGCCUGGGAAACUGGGUCUAAUACCGAAUAUUUCCUGCUGGCCGCAUGGUCUGGUGGGGGAAAGCUUUUGCGGUGUGGGAUGAGCCCGCGGCCUAUCAGCUUGUUGGUGGGGUGAUGGCCUACCAAGGCGACGACGGGUAGCCGGCCUGAGAGGGUGUCCGGCCACACUGGGACUGAGAUACGGCCCAGACUCCUACGGGAGGCAGCAGUGGGGAAUAUUGCACAAUGGGCGCAAGCCUGAUGCAGCGACGCCGCGUGGGGGAUGACGGCCUUCGGGUUGUAAACCUCUUUCAGUACCGACGAAGCGCAAGUGACGGUAGGUACAGAAGAAGCACCGGCCAACUACGUGCCAGCAGCCGCGGUA